GUUUAGGGUUUAAAACCCUAAUGCUGGCUGAAUGGAAAAAAUUCAGUUUAGGGUUUAAAACCCUAAUGCUGAUUGCAUAAAAAAGCUCAGUUUAGGGUUUAAAACCCUAAUGCUGGCUGAAUGGAAAAAAAUUUCAGUUUAAGGUUUAAAACCCUAAUGCUGACUAAAGGAAAAAUUCAGUUUAGGGUUUAAAACCCUAAUGCUGAUUGCAUGGAAAAGCUCAGUUUAGGGUAUAAAACCCUAAAGCUGGCUUAAUGGAAAAAAGUUCAGUUUAGGGUUUAAAACCUUAAUGCUGAUUAAAGGAAAAUUCAGUUUAGGGUUUAAAACCCUAAUGCUGACUGGCUGGGGACAAAGUUCGAGAAUGCUAAACGAUCUUUUUUUUUGUUUUAGUAGAAGAUAAAAGGGGGUUUCGUGGAAACUUACCUUUCGAGUGAAUUCAUCAUUGCCAAAGUAUUUCUUGUACCCGUGUACCUUCCUCUUUUUGCGACACCUGCUUCUUGCACGGUUGUCUUGGAUUAUACCUUUUUCAACUUU
RNAcentral lists this long non-coding RNA (534 nucleotides) under Nicotiana tabacum (common tobacco). RNAcentral's name for it is "long non-coding RNA (NTAB_LNC005096)". The record is from RNAcentral. Lineage: Eukaryota; Viridiplantae; Streptophyta; Magnoliopsida; Solanales; Solanaceae.